UGAGGAAUAUUGCGCAAUGGGGGAAACCCUGACGCAGCAACGCCGCGUGGGUGAAGAAGGCCUUCGGGUCGUAAAGCCCUUUCGGACGGGACGAACGGUCCGCGGUGACAACCCGCGGAUCCUGACGGUACCGUAAGAAGAAGCACCGGCUAACUCCGUGCCAGCAGCCGCGGUAAUACGGAGGGUGCAAGCGUUGUUCGGAAUUACUGGGCGUAAAGCGCGUGUAGGCGGCCUUGCAAGCCAGACGUGAAAGCCCUCGGCUUAACCGGGGAAGUGCGUCUGGAACUGCUCGGCUCGAGUACGGGAGAGGGAGGCGGAAUUCCCAGUGUAGAGGUGAAAUUCGUAGAUAUUGGGAGGAACACCGGUGGCGAAAGCGGCCUCCUGGACCGAUACUGAUGCUGAGACGCGAAAGCGUGGGGAGCAAACAGGAUUAGAUACCCUGGUAGUCCACGCGGUAAACGAUGGGCACUAGGUGUGGGGGGUAUCCACUCCUCCCGUGCCGCAGCUAACGCAUUAAGUGCCCCGCCUGGGGAGUACGGCCGCAAGGUUA
RNAcentral lists this ribosomal RNA (550 nucleotides) under uncultured bacterium. Its description in RNAcentral is "bacterial SSU rRNA". It matches the Rfam family "Bacterial small subunit ribosomal RNA", at positions 355 to 896 of the family's 1533-position model. The record is from RNAcentral.